This 489-nucleotide ribosomal RNA is filed under the name uncultured bacterium. Its description in RNAcentral is "partial 16S ribosomal RNA". It matches the Rfam family "Bacterial small subunit ribosomal RNA", at positions 28 to 507 of the family's 1533-position model. The record is from RNAcentral.
GAUGAACGCUAGCGGGAGGCCUAACACAUGCAAGCCGAGCGGGAUUUGUUGGUUAGCUUGCUAACUAACAAUGAGAGCGGCGUACGGGUGCGUAGCACGUGUGCAACCUGCCUUUAUCUGGGGGAUAGCCUUUCGAAAGGAAGAUUAAUACCCCAUAACAUAUUGAUUGGCAUCAGUUAAUAUUGAAAGCUCCGGCGGAUAGAGAUGGGCACGCGUAAGAUUAGCUAGUUGGUGAGGUAACGGCUCACCAAGGCUGCGAUCUUUAGGGGGCCUGAGAGGGGGAGCCCCCACACGGGUACUGGGACACGGACCAGACUCCUACGGGAGGCAGCAGUGAGGAAUAUUGGACAAUGGGUGAGAGCCUGAUCCAGCCAACCCGCGUGAAGGACUAAGGACCUAUGGUUUGUAAACUUCUUUUAGACAGGGAUAAACCUACGCGCGUGAGGGUAGCUGAAGGUACUGGAUGAAUAAGCACCGGCUAACUCCGUG